CUAUCUGCAGUCGACGCUUCUUUUUCCACCGGAGCUUGCUCCACCGGAAAAAGAGGAGUGGCGAACGGGUGAGUAACACGUGGGUAACCUGCCCAUCAGAAGGGGAUAACACUUGGAAACAGGUGCUAAUACCGUAUAACAAUCAAAACCGCAUGGUUUUGAUUUGAAAGGCGCUUUCGGGUGUCGCUGAUGGAUGGACCCGCGGUGCAUUAGCUAGUUGGUGAGGUAACGGCUCACCAAGGCCACGAUGCAUAGCCGACCUGAGAGGGUGAUCGGCCACAUUGGGACUGAGACACGGCCCAAACUCCUACGGGAGGCAGCAGUAGGGAAUCUUCGGCAAUGGACGAAAGUCUGACCGAGCAACGCCGCGUGAGUGAAGAAGGUUUUCGGAUCGUAAAACUCUGUUGUUAGAGAAGAACAAGGAUGAGAGUAACUGUUCAUCCCUUGACGGUAUCUAACCAGAAAGCCACGGCUAACUACGUGCCAGCAGCCGCGGUAAUACGUAGGUGGCAAGCGUUGUCCGGAUUUAUUGGGCGUAAAGCGAG
Molecule: ribosomal RNA, 545 nt
Filed under: Enterococcus sp. M326
Lineage: Bacteria; Bacillati; Bacillota; Bacilli; Lactobacillales; Enterococcaceae
Description: bacterial SSU rRNA
Rfam family: Bacterial small subunit ribosomal RNA
Source: RNAcentral